ACCUCAAAUCAGGUAGGACUACCCGCU
RNAcentral lists this ribosomal RNA (27 nucleotides) under Phlegmacium stjernegaardii. RNAcentral describes it as "partial 28S ribosomal RNA". Lineage: Eukaryota; Fungi; Basidiomycota; Agaricomycetes; Agaricales; Cortinariaceae. The record is from RNAcentral.